GAUGAACGCUGGCGGCGUGCCUAAUACAUGCAAGUCGAGCGAACGGACGAGAAGCUUGCUUCUCUGAUGUUAGCGGCGGACGGGUGAGUAACACGUGGAUAACCUACCUAUAAGACUGGGAUAACCUCGGGAAACCGGAGCUAAUACCGGAUAAUAUUUUGAACCGCAUGGUUCAAAAGUGAAAGACGGUCUUGCUGUCACUUAUAGAUGGAUCCGCGCUGCAUUAGCUAGUUGGUAAGGUAACGGCUUACCAAGGCAACGAUGCAUAGCCGACCUGAGAGGGUGAUCGGCCACACUGGAACUGAGACACGGUCCCGACUCCUACGGGGGGCAGCAGUAGGGAAUCUUCCGCAAUGGGCGAAAGCCUGACGGAGCAACGCCGCGUGAGUGAUGAAGGUCUUCGGAUCGUAAAACUCUGUUAUUAGGGAAGAACAUAUGUGUAAGUAACUGUGCACAUCUUGACGGUACCUAAUCAGAAAGCCACGGCUAACUACGUG
RNAcentral lists this ribosomal RNA (497 nucleotides) under uncultured bacterium. RNAcentral's name for it is "partial 16S ribosomal RNA". It matches the Rfam family "Bacterial small subunit ribosomal RNA", at positions 28 to 507 of the family's 1533-position model. The record is from RNAcentral.